GAAUUACUGGGCGUAAAGCGCACGCAGGCGGUUAGUUAAGUUAGAUGUGAAAGCCCCGGGCUUAACCUGGGAAUUGCAUUUAAGACUGGCUAACUAGAGUCUUGGAGAGGGGGGUGGAAUUUCCGGUGUAGCGGUGAAAUGCGUAGAGAUCGGAAGGAACAUCAGUGGCGAAGGCGACCCCCUGGCCAAAGACUGACGCUCAGG
This 204-nucleotide ribosomal RNA is filed under the name uncultured Mamiellales. RNAcentral describes it as "partial Bacterial small subunit ribosomal RNA". It matches the Rfam family "Bacterial small subunit ribosomal RNA", at positions 548 to 751 of the family's 1533-position model. The record is from RNAcentral. Lineage: Eukaryota; Viridiplantae; Chlorophyta; Mamiellophyceae; Mamiellales.